UUCUCUUCGCAUCCCUUCCCUGUAUCGCAGCAGCCAGGGCGGCGCGACCCAUCAACCACCGGGCGGUGACCCGCAACCUACAGCAGAUCAGGUGCAGGAUCGCCACCGCCUCCGGCCGACAAGGAUUGAGCUCCAUGGAUCCAGGCGCACCGGCCAGAUCCGUCAUCGAGGGGACGACCUCCACCGUCCCGCUACCCUGCAUCCUCGACGCGCCCAACCCCGGCCACCUCAACGACUCCGCCUCCUCAAGGGCGACCUGCACCACCGUCCUACUACCCUAGAAUUAACGCCGCCGCCGCCUCUCGGCAAUUUCUCCUACCCAGUGGUGCGGCAUCGCUUCCAUCAUCUCCAACAUCAGGUUGGUGUCUGCUCCUUUGCUCUGAAAACGUGUCAUGCUGGCCAGAUCCGUUCUCUUUGUCCUGAAGUUGGCUGGGGACUUUCCACAUGGCAAGUUUCAUUGGAUGUAUCAAAGAUAGAAAUGAGUGGAUUUGGUGUCAUACCACUCAUGUCUCGGCACUGUACCGACAAACUUUGAUUCUAUAUUGCCAUCUCAACAACACAUGGGUAACAUAUUAAAGGUGCAAUCAUGUCUUUUUUUGACACCAUGUUGAUUAUAUCAUUUUUUGUUUGAAAGAACUAUCACUAAAGUGGUCAGUGCAGUACCGUGUGUGUUGCCCAGUCGCCAGGUCGAGCUGCUGCGCUAGAUUGUCGUUGCGGAUCGCGUGCCUCCUGCCUGCUCAUGUUUGCAGCCAUCGCGCCACCUGCCGGAUUGUUGUGGCAUUAAUCAAGAAUGACGAUGUUUUCCAUACAUAACAUAGGUCCUGUCUUUAGGCAACACACAGACACACGCACACAUGAAUAUUAGAUGGAGUGGAGAGAGCAAAUGGAAGAAUCAUUGAUUGAAGGAAUACUUAGAGCACUAUCAUGUUUUAUCAACUGGAGCAGAGACGACAAAUGGAAGAAUCACAGAGUGAAGGAAAACUGAGAGCACUUUGAUGUUGACUGAACUUCAGAUGGCCGUUUUAUUAAAAGAAAAUUUUCGUAUUUUGCAGCCAGGGCUGCGCUACAGAGAGCAUUGGACCGCGUCCAUGGCAUCAUCUGUCACAGGACAACAAAUGUCACAAGAGAUCAUACGAGUGGACAUUCGCUAUGGCGUCUCAAGAGAGUAGCGAUGUCCGAGUUACCUGCCGCCCGUUGCCUUUCACGAGCCUGCUUAUGUGAGAAGAAAUAAAAUGAAUAAAAGAGUUGCUAAUGGCAUAGUAAUCAAGGUGUCAACGAUCUAAGUGGCAAUUUUACAGAGUCAAUAUGGAAAGGGGCAAUUUCUCAAAGCCACAUGAAGGAGAUGGCAAAAAUCCAAAUACUACAACUUCAUACAGUCUAGGCCCCUGGAACUUAAAAUAUUAGCAACAAUCAGUUUGCAUAAUAGUGAUGUGCUCAUUUAUCAUGGAUGGUUAUCAGAUGCAGUUCACAGAGGGUAAGGUGCCUGGAAGUAUGUAAUAGAAUUGGCUUAUGUGUGAUCACUUACCAAAUUUUAGCUUAUGUGUGAUCACUUAGCAAAUUUCUCGUAAAAUAACUAAUGGAAUGCAUAAUAUUAUAUCAUGUUCUU
Triticum aestivum (bread wheat) is the source of this 1606-nucleotide long non-coding RNA. RefSeq lists it as uncharacterized. The transcript has 3 exons. The record is from RefSeq and is a predicted model, not a curated record. NCBI's taxonomy places the organism in Eukaryota, Viridiplantae, Streptophyta, Magnoliopsida, Poales, Poaceae.